Rhodamnia argentea is the source of this 793-nucleotide long non-coding RNA. RefSeq lists it as uncharacterized. The transcript has 2 exons. NCBI's taxonomy places the organism in Eukaryota, Viridiplantae, Streptophyta, Magnoliopsida, Myrtales, Myrtaceae. The record is from RefSeq and is a predicted model, not a curated record.
GGAUUUUUCCUUUAUUUGCAUGAAGUCCCAUCUUUACAGUAAUCAAUCAUUUCUUGAUUUCUCAAGCACAAGAAUUAUUUAAGAGCAUUGUACUGCAUGAAAGUACCUGGGUUGGUUAUGAUUGCUAUGCCGUACUCUUGCAAUGUGGCUUACUUUGUCUAGUUAAUUGAUCUCUAUUUCACGUGUGACAGCAGUCUAAGCUGGAUACUUUCAUGCAUUGUAGUGCAUGAAAGUACCUGGCAUGAUGAUCGUGACAGCGGUCUAAGUUGGAUAGUUGUGAGCAUCAUUUCCUGAUAUUGCCAGUUGAUAAGCCAAUUUGAGUGUAUACCCUCUAACGCCUUCCCAAUAGAUGGAUUACGUGUAUCUUGGGAAUGCAGUUUUUCGCAUUGAUUCUACUACCCAUCUACUUGGGUUGUUUUCAUGUCGUUUUGGAGCUUCCAAAUGCAGCUUCGUUAUUUGAUUUUGAAGGAAUUUGUUUGUUAGUUUCUUAUGUGUCACACAUUAGUCCGAGAAAUCAGAAUAAGCUGCCAAGUUCCCUGGGAGGAGGACUACUUGGGCCCUCUAGAUGUUGAAAUAAUUAGGUUUUUAUGCGGUUGGAAAUUUGUAUGUUACAUUGUUCUUGGUUAACUGAUUCUGAAAAUGCAUUCAAAUGCAUUUCCUCCUUACCUUUUUCCUCUGUAUAGAAUCGCUAAUUUAACGCUAUUUUCAGUGGUAGAUAUCAGUAGGACAGUUAACACUUCCAGUGAGUCUUGAUGAGAAGGAAGUACCAUUGCAAUAUUCCUGUGGUACAACC